This is a small nuclear RNA of Rhinolophus ferrumequinum (greater horseshoe bat), 104 nucleotides long. NCBI's taxonomy places the organism in Eukaryota, Metazoa, Chordata, Mammalia, Chiroptera, Rhinolophidae. The record is from Ensembl.
GUGCUUACUCUGGCAGCACAUAGGCUAAAAUUGGAAUGAUACAGAGAUUAGUACAGCCCCUGGGCAAGGAUGACACACAAAUUUGUGAAACAUUCCAUAUGUUU